AUUUUCUUAUUGUUGUCUCAGAGUUUUUUAAACUUAUGAAUGAGGUGGAGAAUGGGGAUCUGGUGUUUACGUUGGAGACAAUAGUAGAUAAGUUUGGGGAGGAGAUGGCACCUUAUGCCCUUGGGUUGUGCCAAAACUUGGCUUCUGCAUUUUGGAGGUGUAUGAAUACAGCUGAAACUGAAGAAGACGCUGAUGAUUAUGGUGCUUUAGCUACUGUAGGAUGAUGAAGGACUAUUGCUUGAAUGAGACACCAAUGCGAUGGCUAACUAGUAAUUGUGGUGGAAAGAAUACAUAUACACUUGGUGAAAUUAAUGAAACUCGAAAUGAAUGGGCAGCCAAGCUUCUUGAGCGGAUGAGUCAUAGUUAGAGUAACUUUUGAAAUCGGAAUUAACAAAUAUACUAAUUGUAGUAUUUAGUUAGUACUUACAUAGUUAUUCCAAGUGUAUAUUUUGAUAUUGUAAUUUUAGAUUUGGAACAUACCGAGUUCUAUUGAUUUUGUCUGCCUAUUGAUUAUGUCUGAACUAUGUUGUAAUUACACAGGAAAUUAUGAAUGAAUAUAGUGGUUGAAAAUAGAUAAAUGAAAAAAUUCUCAUAUUCUA
Long non-coding RNA from Humulus lupulus (European hop), 599 nucleotides. RefSeq lists it as uncharacterized. NCBI's taxonomy places the organism in Eukaryota, Viridiplantae, Streptophyta, Magnoliopsida, Rosales, Cannabaceae. The record is from RefSeq and is a predicted model, not a curated record. The transcript is spliced from 3 exons.